GGCCGCGGGAAUUCGAUUCAGGCCUAACACAUGCAAGUCGAACGGUGAAGCCCAGCUUGCUGGGUGGAUCAGUGGCGAACGGGUGAGUAACACGUGAGCAAUCUGCCCCUGACUCUGGGAUAAGCGCUGGAAACGGCGUCUAAUACUGGAUAUGAACCGUGGAGGCAUCUUCAACGGUUGGAAAGAUUUUUUGGUCAGGGAUGAGCUCGCGGCCUAUCAGCUUGUUGGUGAGGUAAUGGCUCACCAAGGCGUCGACGGGUAGCCGGCCUGAGAGGGUGACCGGCCACACUGGGACUGAGACACGGCCCAGACUCCUACGGGAGGCAGCAGUGGGGAAUAUUGCACAAUAAGGGCAAGCCUGAUGCAGCA
This 369-nucleotide ribosomal RNA is filed under the name uncultured bacterium. RNAcentral describes it as "bacterial SSU rRNA". It matches the Rfam family "Bacterial small subunit ribosomal RNA", at positions 46 to 392 of the family's 1533-position model. The record is from RNAcentral.